This 2786-nucleotide long non-coding RNA is filed under the name Homo sapiens (human). RNAcentral describes it as "HSALNT0085195". Lineage: Eukaryota; Metazoa; Chordata; Mammalia; Primates; Hominidae. The record is from RNAcentral.
CUGAAGUUCUCCUUUCCCUGAUGGCUGUUCCAGGUGACCAUUAUUCCCAGCUUCCAGAGGCCACUCCCAUUCCUUGGCUUGUGCCCCACCCCCUUCUUUUUCAUCUUCAAACAUGACAAUGACUGAACAAUGAGGGCGAGGAAUGGAAGUGCUCCUGACUAUGAAGCCAGAUAUGCUACAAGUAAUGGCUGACAAUAUUUCAAGAGCUGAGCAAAUAACACAGAGAAGAGACUGAUGGAUUCAAAACCUGUAACAGACAGAUCCUUUAGACAGUUUAUCUAUUGAACAUUCCAUGGCAUUUUUAUACUGUGGAUCACUAAAAUCAUCAUAUUAGUCUGCUGCUAUUGUAGAUGUUUUUCAUGAUGACUGAUCAGAAACCAUUGUAAUAGAUGUAAGAAUGGAGAAGGAUAUGCUCUUCAAGGUUUUGGAAGACAUUAUAGCUCAGUAAGUACUGGGAUGGCAACAGACCUGAAAACAACCUUGUGUCAUCACUAUAAUUUGUUCUGGAUGUUCCAUCAUAAGCAUUGUCCUUUAUAAAGAAUGCCCUUUGUGAUGGUUAUGCUUUGCACAAUAUCAUUUUAGUAACAAAAUUAAUACUUGUUGCAGUAUAUUAAAUCUCAGUGCAAUGGGGGCCCAAGAGUGUGCAAGACAAUUGUGAGACUGCAGUAAAUCUUUUGGAAUUGAUCCAUUUGAUUAACCAAAGUAGACUAGGUUAUAUUGCAAAAAGAUAUAUCAGUGUCUCAAUUCAGCAAAGGGGUAUUUCUGAGUUUGGCAACAUUCUAGGCAGGCACCUUCCAUGUAUGCAUCCAUGGUUCAGCUGCUUCUACCUUGUUCUUCCUCCAUUUCAAAUAUGCAUUCUUGGACACCACUAAUGAGGAAUAGACAGCAUAGAUAAUUCACACUUUUCUGUUAAAUACCUUGCGCUGCAAAUGGCACAGAUCACUUCUGCUUACGAGCCAAUGGUGAAUACUGGACAUAUGUUCCACUAACUCCAAGAGUCCAAGAGGGCUGAGAAAUGUAGUCUAUCCAGGUGCACAGAAAAUUGAGUACUAGAAAUAUCUGCUACACUAAUAGAUGGGAAACUGAGAUAAUUUCCUAAAUGAAGUCUUAUUGGCAUUAAGAAAUUGAUUCUGUUUUAACUAUUGGGGUUUUUUUGGCUCUCAUGAUUUUGCAUUUUAUUUCAUAUAAUCAUAAAAUGUUGAGUCAAUCCUGCCAGGGACUAUACUACACUCUGAUGGGAAUUUAGGUAAUUUUACAUAUGCAUUGAAUUCUUAGUCACUAAGUUUAAAGAUUAUCUUAUUUCUAUUAAAAAAUCGUACAAUCACAUGUGAUUGCAUUAUAUACUAUCUAGAUGUCAAAGUAUCUUACGUUUAUUUUCUUCAGAACCCAUAUUUCUAUACUGUAUUUCCCACCAUGUGUUCUAUAGGAAUGGAGCAGAAUUAGGCAUAUAAUGAGGCAGUGACAAACUAGAUUUAGAAUUUGUGUGAGGCAACUGUCUUUUCACUCUGCAGUACAGUAUUCUCACAACACUCCCAUCACAAAAGCGUUGUAAAAGCUGCUAACAAUCAGCAGCCUUGCAAAUUCUCAGUUUUAGGCAUUAACUAUGAAUGCCAUGACGAUAUCUAUGCAAAAUUGCUUGCCAUGUUUCACAUUUCCUGACCAGCAUCACUGGUCCCUCACUCUCUCUGAACAUAAAAUAGAAAGAUAAUUAAUAUGUUUUAUCCCAUUAAGGAACAUAUAAUAAGAAACUUCUAUUCUUAUGUCUAAUACCUUUAUAGUAUCUCAUAUCAAGAAUUUGAGGUGCUAUUUAGAUUCCAUGAGAUUUCUUAUGGGAAAAAAAUCUCGGUUCUAAAAUUAUUUUGUUUUUAUUUCUCUUUUUUUUUCCUGACUAUAAUAUAAAUGUUAAAUUUAUUUAAGUAAUCCAAAGCACAUAUUUGUCCUUUGUAAAACUUUAAUUGAAACAAUUGUAUAAAGGUAUAAAGUGCAUUUCCAUAUGUGUAUUCAUUGUGUAAUGAUCAAAUAAGCGUAAUGAUUUGGGGGUAACAUAUCUGGCUAGUGAGCAUGCACCCAUUCUGGACACAACUUCUCUGGGCAGGACUGCUUAUUCUUGGGGGCAGGGUCAACACAGGCUCCAGCGUCAGGUUGCUGGACCGAUGAUCCCAGAGGCUAGGGUCUGCAGUUUCUAGGAUAUGGAAGGCAUAGCGCCUCCAAGACAGCUUGUUCUCUAGGUAUAGGAAGCUGUGGCAGCUCAGUGAGUGCACUAUGAUGCGUGAAUGUGGUGUCAAUGUAGCAUGGACUCAGGAAUGGAAAGAUGUAGUGGCUACUGGCUCCUGAAACAGGAUGCACUUUAGCCGUGACUCCAGUGUCAAGAUGACACCAUACAGGUGCAGCUUGGGUCAUGGAGUAAGGAGCGGGGCACAGUGUGGGCUUCUUCUCUGGCACAGUGCAGAGGUGUGGGUGCAAGGCAGCUCCCAAAACUAAGCUCAGUGCCUGUGGGGACUACAGGGUUCUCCAUUAGCAAAGACUGCAGGUGUUUGCAAUGUUGGCGGGGCUGCUGGGAGCCUCCUGCCUGCCUACCUUUUCUCUCCUGGGGAAAGUGCCUUCUUUCUCUGAGUUGAACCUGGCUGGGAAUAAGAUGUGGCAGAGGCAGGCUGUUUCCUUUUCUUCUUCAGACCCUCCCUAAAGGUCUCCUUCCUCUAUGCAUUUUAUCGUUCCAACACUGUACUCCAUCACUCUCAAACACUCCAAUUCAAAUGUGUUGGUUUAAUUGUUGUUUUGAUCCUUUA